UACAAAGGGGGCGAGCGUUAAUCGGAUUUACUGGGCGUAAAGCGUGCGUAGGCGGCUUUGUAAGUCGGAUGUGGAAUCCUCGAGCUCAACUCGGGAAUUGCAUUCGAUACUGGGAAGCUUGAGUAUGGGAGAGGAUGGUAGAAUUCCAGGUGUAGCGGUGAAAUGCGUAGAGAUCUGGAGGAAUACCGAUGGCGAAGGCGGCCAUCUGGCCUAAUACUGACGCUGAGGUACGAAAGCAUGGGGAGCAAACAGG
RNAcentral lists this unclassified non-coding RNA (253 nucleotides) under uncultured Moraxellaceae bacterium. Its description in RNAcentral is "contains 16S-23S intergenic spacer region". It matches the Rfam family "Bacterial small subunit ribosomal RNA", at positions 524 to 776 of the family's 1533-position model. Lineage: Bacteria; Pseudomonadati; Pseudomonadota; Gammaproteobacteria; Moraxellales; Moraxellaceae. The record is from RNAcentral.